RNAcentral lists this ribosomal RNA (700 nucleotides) under Paenibacillus pabuli. RNAcentral's name for it is "bacterial SSU rRNA". It matches the Rfam family "Bacterial small subunit ribosomal RNA", at positions 107 to 791 of the family's 1533-position model. Lineage: Bacteria; Bacillati; Bacillota; Bacilli; Caryophanales; Paenibacillaceae. The record is from RNAcentral.
GGAGUAACACGUAGGCAACCUGCCCUCAAGUUUGGGACAACUACCGGAAACGGUAGCUAAUACCGAAUAGUUGUUUUCUUCGCCUGAAGGAAACUGGAAAGACGGAGCAAUCUGUCACUUGGGGAUGGGCCUGCGGCGCAUUAGCUAGUUGGUGGGGUAACGGCUCACCAAGGCGACGAUGCGUAGCCGACCUGAGAGGGUGAUCGGCCACACUGGGACUGAGACACGGCCCAGACUCCUACGGGAGGCAGCAGUAGGGAAUCUUCCGCAAUGGGCGAAAGCCUGACGGAGCAAUGCCGCGUGAGUGAUGAAGGUUUUCGGAUCGUAAAGCUCUGUUGCCAGGGAAGAACGCUUGGGAGAGUAACUGCUCUCAAGGUGACGGUACCUGAGAAGAGGAGCCCCGGCUAACUACGUGCCAGCAGCCGCGGUAAUACGUAGGGGGCAAGCGUUGUCCGGAAUUAUUGGGCGUAAAGCGCGCGCAGGCGGUCAUUUAAGUCUGGUGUUUAAUCCCGGGGCUCAACCCCGGAUCGCACUGGAAACUGGGUGACUUGAGUGCAGAAGAGGAGAGUGGAAUUCCACGUGUAGCGGUGAAAUGCGUAGAUAUGUGGAGGAACACCAGUGGCGAAGCGACUCUCUGGGCUGUUACUGACGCUGAGGCGCGAAAGCGUGGGGGAGGCAAACAGGAUUAGAUUACCCUUGG